CGAAUAGCUCAGUAACACGUGGCCAAACUACCCUUCGGACCACAAUACCCUCGGGAAACUGAGGCUAAUAGUGUAUACCACAGUCCACCUGGAAUGAGGACUGUGCCAAACGCUCCGGCGCCGAAGGAUGUGGCUGCGGCCGAUUAGGUAGACGGUGGGGUAACGGCCCACCGUGCCAAUAAUCGGUACGGGUCAUGAGAGUGAGAACCCGGAGACGGAAUCUGAGACAAGAUUCCGGGCCCUACGGGGCGCAGCAGGCGCGAAACCUUUACACUGCACGACAGUGCGAUAAGGGAAUCCCAAGUGCGCAGGCAUAGAGCCUGCGCUUUUGUCCACCGUAGGGAGGUGGACGAAUAAGGGCUGGGCAAGACCGGUGCCAGCCGCCGCGGUAAUACCGGCAGCCCGAGUGAUGGCCGAUCUUAUUGGGCCUAAAGCGUCCGUAGCUGGCCGCACAAGUCCAUCGGAAAAUCCACCCGCUCAACGGGUGGGCGUCCGGUGGAAACUGUGUGGCUUGGGACCGGAAGGCGCGACGGGUACGUCCGGGGUAGGAGUGAAAUCCCGUAAUCCUGGACGGACCGCCGAUGGCGAAAGCACGUCGCGAAGACGGAUCCGACAGUGAGGGACGAAAGCUAGGGUCUCGAACCGGAUUAGAUACCCGGGUAGUCCUAGCCGUAAACAAUGCCUGCUAGGUGU
This 693-nucleotide ribosomal RNA is filed under the name halophilic archaeon. Its description in RNAcentral is "bacterial SSU rRNA". It matches the Rfam family "Archaeal small subunit ribosomal RNA", at positions 82 to 774 of the family's 1478-position model. Lineage: Archaea; Methanobacteriati; Methanobacteriota; Halobacteria; Halobacteriales. The record is from RNAcentral.